AAAGAAAGCGUAAUAGCUCACUGGUCGAGUCGGCCUGCGCGGAAGAUGUAACGGGGCUAAACCAUGCACCGAAGCUGCGGCAGCGACGCUGAUGCGUUGUUGGGUAGGGGAGCGUUCUGUAAGCCUGCGAAGGUGUGUCGUGAGGGAUGCUGGAGGUAUCAGAAGUGCGAAUGCUGACAUAAGUAACGAUAAAGCGGGUGAAAAGCCCGCUCGCCGGAAGACCAAGGGUUCCUGUCCAACGUUAAUCGGGGCAGGGUGAGUCGACCCCUAAGGC
RNAcentral lists this ribosomal RNA (274 nucleotides) under Salmonella enterica subsp. enterica serovar Goldcoast. RNAcentral describes it as "partial 23S ribosomal RNA". It matches the Rfam family "Bacterial large subunit ribosomal RNA", at positions 1125 to 1397 of the family's 2925-position model. Lineage: Bacteria; Pseudomonadati; Pseudomonadota; Gammaproteobacteria; Enterobacterales; Enterobacteriaceae. The record is from RNAcentral.